RNAcentral lists this ribosomal RNA (508 nucleotides) under uncultured bacterium. Its description in RNAcentral is "bacterial SSU rRNA". It matches the Rfam family "Bacterial small subunit ribosomal RNA", at positions 16 to 518 of the family's 1533-position model. The record is from RNAcentral.
AUUCUGGCUCAGGAUGAACGCUAGCGACAGGCCUAACACAUGCAAGUCGAGGGGCAGCGCGGAAGUAGCUUGCUAUUCUGGCGGCGACCGGCGCACGGGUGCGUAACAGGUGUGCAAUCUGUCCAUAGUCGGGGAAUAGCCCAGCGAAAGUUGGAUUAAUGCUCCAUGUGAAGAGAAGCCGCAUGACUUUUCUUUGAAACGUAAGGACUAUGGGUGAGCACGCUUCUGAUUAGAUAGUUGGUGAGGUAACGGCUCACCAAGUCGACGAUCAGUAGGGUUCUGAGAGGAAGGUCCCCCACAUUGGAACUGAGACACGGUCCAAACUCCUACGGGAGGCAGCAGUGAGGAAUAUUGGUCAAUGGGCGAGAGCCUGAACCAGCCAAGUCGCGUGAAGGAUGAAGGUUCUAUGGAUUGUAAACUUCUUUUGUCCGAGGGUAAAAAAGGCCACGUGUGGCUUCUUGCAAGUAUCGGACGAAUAAGCAUCGGCUAACUCCGUGCCAGCCGCGGC